GAUGAACGCUGGCGGCGUGCUUAACACAUGCAAGUCGAACGGAGCUAUGACACGGAGUCUUCGGACGAAGUGCUGUAGCUUAGUGGCGGACGGGUGAGUAACACGUGAGCAACCUACCUUUUGCAGGGGAAUAACUCUGGGAAACCAGAGCUAAUACCGCAUGCCGUGCGCUUGGGGCAUCCCAGGUGCAUGAAAGGAGCAAUCCGGCAGAAGAUGGGCUCGCGUCCGAUUAGGUAGUUGGAGAGGUAAUGGCUCCCCAAGCCGACGAUCGGUAGCCGGACUGAGAGGUCGAUCGGCCACAUUGGGACUGAGACACGGCCCAGACUCCUACGGGAGGCAGCAGUGGGGAAUAGUUGGGCAAUGGGCGAAGCCUGACCCAGCGACGCCGCGUGAAGGGAAGGCUUUCGAGUUGUAAACUUCUUUGGGGAGGACGAAGAUGACGGUCCUCCAGAACAAGCCACGGCUAACUACGUGCCAGCAGCCCGCGGU
RNAcentral lists this ribosomal RNA (489 nucleotides) under uncultured bacterium. RNAcentral's name for it is "bacterial SSU rRNA". It matches the Rfam family "Bacterial small subunit ribosomal RNA", at positions 28 to 521 of the family's 1533-position model. The record is from RNAcentral.